This 758-nucleotide ribosomal RNA is filed under the name Blochmannia endosymbiont of Camponotus (Myrmobrachys) sp. 224. Its description in RNAcentral is "bacterial SSU rRNA". It matches the Rfam family "Bacterial small subunit ribosomal RNA", at positions 430 to 1179 of the family's 1533-position model. The record is from RNAcentral. Lineage: Bacteria; Pseudomonadati; Pseudomonadota; Gammaproteobacteria; Enterobacterales; Enterobacteriaceae.
GCACUUUCAAUGGGGAAGAAUUUGAUGCUGCUAAUAUCGGCAUCAAUUGACGUUACCUAUAUAAGAAGCACCGGCUAACUCCGUGCCAGCAGCCGCGGUAAUACGGAGGGUGCAAGCGUUAAUCGGAAUUACUGGGCGUAAAGAGUACGUAGGUGGUUUAUUAAGUCAGAUGUGAAAUCCCUGAGCUUAACUUAGGAACUGCAUUUGAAACUGAUAAACUAGAGUUUCGUAGAGGGGGGUAGAAUUCCAGGUGUAGCGGUGAAAUGCGUAGAGAUCUGGAGGAAUACCAGUGGCGAAGGCGGCCCCCUGGACGAAGACUGACACUCAGGUACGAAAGCAUGGGGAGCAAACAGGAUUAGAUACCCUGGUAGUCCAUGCCGUAAACGAUGUCGAUUUGAAGGUUGUAACCUGUGAGUUAUAGCUUUCGGAGCUAACGCGUUAAAUCGACCGCCUGGGGAGUACGACCGCAAGGUUAAAACUCAAAUGAAUUGACGGGGGCCCGCACAAGCGGUGGAGCAUGUGGUUUAAUUCGAUGCAACACGAAGAACCUUACCUACUCUUGACAUCCAAAGAACUAUGUAGAGAUAUAUAGGUGCCUUCGGGAACUUUGAGACAGGUGCUGCAUGGCUGUCGUCAGCUCGUGUUGUGAAAUGUUGGGUUAAGUCCCGCAACGAGCGCAACCCUUGUCCUUUGUUGCCAACGAGUAAAGUCGGGAACUCAAAGGAGACUGCCAGUGAUAAACUGGAGGAAGGUGAGGA